ACAAAGAUUUUUCCCUCUGGCCUGUCAGCAUAUUCAUAUGCGAAGAUAACGCGUGAUUGUUGAUAGCUGACAGGCAGUACAAUGAACAGAAGUCAAUCUAAUUUGUCUACAAAAAUAACAGCAAAUGACCGUGCUAAACAAUUACCAAGUGUUUUUGGAAAUGAGAGAAAGUCAACAAUCAACAGUCACUUCGAAUCAGCAAAGCAUAUGAGCAUGUCAGAACAGUCCCCAUGACUGAAGUGGUAGCAGGGAAGAAGACUGUGGCAAGCGCUGAAAGAAUCAAGCUGCCCUCCUCAGGCCACAAUUGACCAGACUAGGACCAGCAAACUGCCAACCACCUGGCGCAGACCAGACAGCAGAGUCACCACAAGAACUAGACGAGAGGAGACCGGAACAGACCAAAAAACCACCAACACCCAGCUGAACAAGAUGACCUAGAUGAUCCCAUGAGCAAUGUGACGUGGUAAGGCUAACGCUAAUCCCAAACGAGGAGGCUGCCGAGGACAGAGCCGCCAAUCACCUGGGAGCAGCAACAACUACUACCACCAGACCUGAAAACAGUACCCACCUGGAAUUCAGCAGGGUAGUUCUCCAGAGAUGUAUGGGCUUUUCUCAGAGCAUACCUUCUCACCAAAACAGAAUCCAAGAACCAGAACCGGGAACCAUUCAUCACCACACCAGAAGAGGCGCGGAGGAAGGACCAACUCUCUAGACCAAUGCACGGAUCGAGCAGACCACAGGGGAGUCCCAUCACUGACCUCUGAGUCUUGUGCUUCUAGGUGUGUCUGCUCGCUCCGAAGGUUUCCUUCCUCCCCUCUGCAGAUCCAACACUAGUCCCAGCACCAAUCCAGAUCCCAAUGGCCAGUCCCAGGAACAGACCACCAGACCAGGCGCGAAGGAGGGACCAAAGAUCAAAUCUUCACCUGGAGUGAGCUGGCCACAGGACCCAGAUCCAGCACCUGCAGUAGUCCCGGUUCCUGGUUCCCGGUUCCUGUUUUUUACAUUUACAUACAUUUAAG
Oncorhynchus gorbuscha (pink salmon) is the source of this 1019-nucleotide long non-coding RNA. RefSeq lists it as uncharacterized. The record is from RefSeq and is a predicted model, not a curated record. NCBI's taxonomy places the organism in Eukaryota, Metazoa, Chordata, Actinopteri, Salmoniformes, Salmonidae. The transcript has 5 exons.